RNAcentral lists this ribosomal RNA (539 nucleotides) under uncultured bacterium. Its description in RNAcentral is "bacterial SSU rRNA". It matches the Rfam family "Bacterial small subunit ribosomal RNA", at positions 777 to 1314 of the family's 1533-position model. The record is from RNAcentral.
AAUAGAUACCCAGGUAGUCCACGCCGUAAACGAUGAGUGCUAAGUGUUAGGGGGUUUCCGCCCCUUAGUGCUGCAGCUAACGCAUUAAGCACUCCGCCUGGGGAGUACGGUCGCAAGACUGAAACUCAAAGGAAUUGACGGGGGCCCGCACAAGCGGUGGAGCAUGUGGUUUAAUUCGAAGCAACGCGAAGAACCUUACCAGGUCUUGACAUCCCGCUGACCGUUCUAGAGAUAGAUCUUUCCCUUCGGGGACAGCGGUGACAGGUGGUGCAUGGUUGUCGUCAGCUCGUGUCGUGAGAUGUUGGGUUAAGUCCCGCAACGAGCGCAACCCUUGAUCUUAGUUGCCAGCAUUCAGUUGGGCACUCUAAGGUGACUGCCGGUGAUAAACCGGAGGAAGGUGGGGAUGACGUCAAAUCAUCAUGCCCCUUAUGACCUGGGCUACGCACGUGCUACAAUGGACGGUACAGAGGGUCGCAACCCCGCGAGGGUGAGCUAAUCCCAUAAAACCGUUCUCAGUUCGGAUUGUAGGCUGCAACUCG